GGCAGCCAGAGCAGCCCAGUUGGGCAGUCCAGUGAAGCCCUGCGAGGGAGGUGGAGCCCUUCCCAGAGCACCCAGGACCUGUCUCUGCACUGGGACCGGGAAGAUGCUUCAUUUCACAGCCACCAUACUGUGAGGAAGCCCAAGCCACACGGAGAGGCCACGGGCAGCUGUUCUGGCUGGUGAUUCCCCGUUAGGAGAAUCAGCACCAGCCAACAGACAUGUGAAUGAGGAGACUGUCCAUAUGCCUCCAACCCCAGACUGCAACUGCAUGAAAGACCCUGAGUGAGAAGCACCUGGCUGAGGCCAGCCCCCAGAGCUGUGAGAGGUGUACGGCAGUUUUCCAGAGGCUACAUGAUGUGAUAUGGCGAGAGACUGGAUUUAGAAGCAAAUGUGAAAAUCAGCUGACUUCUACCAAUUCAGGUCUUAAAGGGAGGGUUGCAAAAGUAUAAAAUAAUGCCACUUUCUUUACACUAAAAAAAAACUAGUUAUUUUUAUUAAAAU
Cercocebus atys (sooty mangabey) is the source of this 501-nucleotide long non-coding RNA. RefSeq lists it as uncharacterized. NCBI's taxonomy places the organism in Eukaryota, Metazoa, Chordata, Mammalia, Primates, Cercopithecidae. The transcript has 4 exons. The record is from RefSeq and is a predicted model, not a curated record.